RNAcentral lists this microRNA precursor (110 nucleotides) under Haemonchus contortus (barber pole worm). RNAcentral describes it as "microRNA hco-mir-5900 precursor". Lineage: Eukaryota; Metazoa; Nematoda; Chromadorea; Rhabditida; Trichostrongylidae. The record is from miRBase by way of RNAcentral.
GGGUAGAAUGAAACCCAAUGCAUGUGGUAGCAGAGUCACUUGGAUAAAAUCCCAGUAUUGGCCUAGAAUUCUAUCCAAGUGACUCUGCUACCAUGCAUGUCCCCGCAUUC